AACGAACGCUGGCGGCAUGCCUAACACAUGCAAGUCGAACGAGACCUUCGGGUCUAGUGGCGCACGGGUGCGUAACGCGUGGGAACCUGCCCUUAGGUUCGGAAUAACUCCCCGAAAGGGGUGCUAAUACCGGAUAAUGUCUUCGGACCAAAGAUUUAUCGCCUUUGGAUGGGCCCGCGUUGGAUUAGCUAGUUGGUAGGGUAAAAGCCUACCAAGGCGACGAUCCAUAGCUGGUCUGAGAGGAUGAUCAGCCACACUGGGACUGAGACACGGCCCAGACUCCUACGGGAGGCAGCGGUGGGGAAUAUUGGACAAUGGGCGAAAGCCUGAUCCAGCAAUGCCGCGUGAGUGAUGAAGGCCUUAGGGUUGUAAAGCUCUUUUACCCGGGAUGAUAAUGACAGUACCGGGAGAAUAAGCUCCGGCUAACUCCGU
RNAcentral lists this ribosomal RNA (432 nucleotides) under uncultured bacterium. RNAcentral describes it as "partial 16S ribosomal RNA". It matches the Rfam family "Bacterial small subunit ribosomal RNA", at positions 29 to 506 of the family's 1533-position model. The record is from RNAcentral.